CCUACGGGUGGCAGCAGUGAGGAAUAUUGCUCAAUGGGGGAAACCCUGAAGCAGCAACGCCGCGUGGAGGAUGAAGGUUUUCGGAUUGUAAAAUCCUUUUGGUAGAGGAGAUAAUGACCGUAUGUAAGGGAUAAGCAGAGUAUAACUCGGUGCCAGCAGGCUCGGUAAUACGGAGGGAGCAAGCGUUAUACGGAAGCACUGGGCGUAAAGAGCGCGGAGGGGGGAUCGAAAGUCAGAUGUGAAAUCCUAUGGCUUAACCAGAGAACUGCCUUUGAAACUGUUAUUCUAGAGUAGGGGAGAGGUAGGUGGAAUUCUUGGUGUAGGGGUAAAAUACGUAGAGAUCAAGAGGAACACUCAUUGCGAAGGCGACCUGCUAGAACAUAACUGACGCUGAUGCGCGAAAGCGUGGGGAGCAAACAGGAUUAGAUACCCCAGUAGUC
Molecule: ribosomal RNA, 440 nt
Filed under: uncultured bacterium
Lineage: Bacteria
Description: partial 16S ribosomal RNA
Rfam family: Bacterial small subunit ribosomal RNA
Source: RNAcentral